RNAcentral lists this ribosomal RNA (486 nucleotides) under uncultured eukaryote. Its description in RNAcentral is "bacterial SSU rRNA". It matches the Rfam family "Bacterial small subunit ribosomal RNA", at positions 366 to 869 of the family's 1533-position model. The record is from RNAcentral.
UUGCAAUGGGCGAAAGCCUGACAGAGCAAUACCGCGUGAGGGAAUAAGAAGGCCUAUGGGUUGUAAACCUCUUUUCUCAAAGAAGAAGAUCUGACGUUAUUUGAGGAAUAAGCAUCGGCUAACCCUGUGCCAGCAGCCGCGGUAAGACAGGGGAUGCGAGUGUUAUCCGGAAUUAUUGGGCGUAAAGCGUCUGUAGGUUGAAUUCAAAGUCUUUUGUAAAAUCUUUAAGCUCAACUUAAAAACCGCAAAAGAUACUAGUUUUCUUGAGUAUGGUAGAGGUAAAGGGAAUUUCCAGUGGAGCGGUGAAAUGCGUAGAGAUUGGAAGGAACACCAAAAGCGAAGGCACUUUACUGGGCCAUUACUGACACUGAGAGACGAAAGCUAAGGGAGCAAACGGGAUUAGAUACCCCGGUAGUCUUAGCAGUAAACCAUGGAUACUAGAUGUUGUAAAUAUUUACAGUGUCGUAGUUAACGCGUUAAGUAUCC